RNAcentral lists this ribosomal RNA (460 nucleotides) under uncultured bacterium. Its description in RNAcentral is "partial 16S ribosomal RNA". It matches the Rfam family "Bacterial small subunit ribosomal RNA", at positions 338 to 795 of the family's 1533-position model. The record is from RNAcentral.
CCUACGGGUGGCAGCAGUGAGGAAUAUUGGUCAAUGGACGAGAGACUGAACCAGCCAAGUAGCGUGAAGGAUGACUGCCCUGAGGGUUGUAAACUUCUUUUAUAAGGGAAUAAAGUGUUGCACGUGUGGCAUUUUGUAUGUACCUUAUGAAUAAGGAUCGGCUAACUCCGUGCCAGCAGCCGCGGUAAUACGGAGGAUCCGAGCGUUAUCCGGAUUUAUUGGGUUUAAAGGGAGCGUAGGUGGGUUGUUAAGUCAGUUGUGAAAGUUUGCGGCUCAACCGUAAAAUUGCAGUUGAAACUGGCAGUCUUGAGUACAGUAGAGGUAGGCGGAAUUCGUGGUGUAGCGGUGAAAUGCUUAGAUAUCACGAAGAACUCCGAUUGCGAAGGCAGCUUACUGGACUGCCACUGACACUGAGGCUCGAAAGUGUGGGUAUCAAACAGGAUUAGAUACCCGAGUAGUC